Molecule: ribosomal RNA, 2573 nt
Filed under: Escherichia coli
Lineage: Bacteria; Pseudomonadati; Pseudomonadota; Gammaproteobacteria; Enterobacterales; Enterobacteriaceae
Description: partial 23S ribosomal RNA
Rfam family: Bacterial large subunit ribosomal RNA
Source: RNAcentral
AGCCCCGUACACAAAAAUGCACAUGCUGUGAGCUCGAUGAGUAGGGCGGGACACGUGGUAUCCUGUCUGAAUAUGGGGGGACCAUCCUCCAAGGCUAAAUACUCCUGACUGACCGAUAGUGAACCAGUACCGUGAGGGAAAGGCGAAAAGAACCCCGGCGAGGGGAGUGAAAAAGAACCUGAAACCGUGUACGUACAAGCAGUGGGAGCCUCUUAAUGGGGUGACUGCGUACCUUUUGUAUAAUGGGUCAGCGACUUAUAUUCUGUAGCAAGGUUAACCGAAUAGGGGAGCCGAAGGGAAACCGAGUCUUAACUGGGCGUUAAGUUGCAGGGUAUAGACCCGAAACCCGGUGAUCUAGCCAUGGGCAGGUUGAAGGUUGGGUAACACUAACUGGAGGACCGAACCGACUAAUGUUGAAAAAUUAGCGGAUGACUUGUGGCUGGGGGUGAAAGGCCAAUCAAACCGGGAGAUAGCUGGUUCUCCCCGAAAGCUAUUUAGGUAGCGCCUCGUGAAUUCAUCUCCGGGGGUAGAGCACUGUUUCGGCAAGGGGGUCAUCCCGACUUACCAACCCGAUGCAAACUGCGAAUACCGGAGAAUGUUAUCACGGGAGACACACGGCGGGUGCUAACGUCCGUCGUGAAGAGGGAAACAACCCAGACCGCCAGCUAAGGUCCCAAAGUCAUGGUUAAGUGGGAAACGAUGUGGGAAGGCCCAGACAGCCAGGAUGUUGGCUUAGAAGCAGCCAUCAUUUAAAGAAAGCGUAAUAGCUCACUGGUCGAGUCGGCCUGCGCGGAAGAUGUAACGGGGCUAAACCAUGCACCGAAGCUGCGGCAGCGACACUAUGUGUUGUUGGGUAGGGGAGCGUUCUGUAAGCCUGUGAAGGUGUGCUGUGAGGCAUGCUGGAGGUAUCAGAAGUGCGAAUGCUGACAUAAGUAACGAUAAAGCGGGUGAAAAGCCCGCUCGCCGGAAGACCAAGGGUUCCUGUCCAACGUUAAUCGGGGCAGGGUGAGUCGACCCCUAAGGCGAGGCCGAAAGGCGUAGUCGAUGGGAAACAGGUUAAUAUUCCUGUACUUGGUGUUACUGCGAAGGGGGGACGGAGAAGGCUAUGUUGGCCGGGCGACGGUUGUCCCGGUUUAAGCGUGUAGGCUGGUUUUCCAGGCAAAUCCGGAAAACCAAGGCUGAGGCGUGAUGACGAGGCACUACGGUGCUGAAGCGACAAAUGCCCUGCUUCCAGGAAAAGCCUCUAAGCAUCAGGUAACAUCAAAUCGUACCCCAAACCGACACAGGUGGUCAGGUAGAGAAUACCAAGGCGCUUGAGAGAACUCGGGUGAAGGAACUAGGCAAAAUGGUGCCGUAACUUCGGGAGAAGGCACGCUGAUAUGUAGGUGAAGCGACUUGCUCGUGGAGCUGAAAUCAGUCGAAGAUACCAGCUGGCUGCAACUGUUUAUUAAAAACACAGCACUGUGCAAACACGAAAGUGGACGUAUACGGUGUGACGCCUGCCCGGUGCCGGAAGGUUAAUUGAUGGGGUUAGCGGUAACGCGAAGCUCUUGAUCGAAGCCCCGGUAAACGGCGGCCGUAACUAUAACGGUCCUAAGGUAGCGAAAUUCCUUGUCGGGUAAGUUCCGACCUGCACGAAUGGCGUAAUGAUGGCCAGGCUGUCUCCACCCGAGACUCAGUGAAAUUGAACUCGCUGUGAAGAUGCAGUGUACCCGCGGCAAGACGGAAAGACCCCGUGAACCUUUACUAUAGCUUGACACUGAACAUUGAGCCUUGAUGUGUAGGAUAGGUGGGAGGCUUUGAAGUGUGGACGCCAGUCUGCAUGGAGCCGACCUUGAAAUACCACCCUUUAAUGUUUGAUGUUCUAACGUUGGCCCGUAAUCCGGGUUGCGGACAGUGUCUGGUGGGUAGUUUGACUGGGGCGGUCUCCUCCUAAAGAGUAACGGAGGAGCACGAAGGUUGGCUAAUCCUGGUCGGACAUCAGGAGGUUAGUGCAAUGGCAUAAGCCAGCUUGACUGCGAGCGUGACGGCGCGAGCAGGUGCGAAAGCAGGUCAUAGUGAUCCGGUGGUUCUGAAUGGAAGGGCCAUCGCUCAACGGAUAAAAGGUACUCCGGGGAUAACAGGCUGAUACCGCCCAAGAGUUCAUAUCGACGGCGGUGUUUGGCACCUCGAUGUCGGCUCAUCACAUCCUGGGGCUGAAGUAGGUCCCAAGGGUAUGGCUGUUCGCCAUUUAAAGUGGUACGCGAGCUGGGUUUAGAACGUCGUGAGACAGUUCGGUCCCUAUCUGCCGUGGGCGCUGGAGAACUGAGGGGGGCUGCUCCUAGUACGAGAGGACCGGAGUGGACGCAUCACUGGUGUUCGGGUUGUCAUGCCAAUGGCACUGCCCGGUAGCUAAAUGCGGAAGAGAUAAGUGCUGAAAGCAUCUAAGCACGAAACUUGCCCCGAGAUGAGUUCUCCCUGAGACUUAGAGUCUCCUGAAGGAACGUUGAAGACGACGACGUUGAUAGGCCGGGUGUGUAAGCGCAGCGAUGCGUUGAGCUAACCGGUACUAAUGAACCGUGAGGCUUAACCUU